Lolium perenne is the source of this 383-nucleotide long non-coding RNA. RefSeq lists it as uncharacterized. The record is from RefSeq and is a predicted model, not a curated record. NCBI's taxonomy places the organism in Eukaryota, Viridiplantae, Streptophyta, Magnoliopsida, Poales, Poaceae.
CCUACGGUCCACUGCGGGAAGGACUCCCCGACGCGGGGGCUUGGAGGGGCUGACUGCUGGCGCCGGCGGCGAGGACGCCAACGCUGCCCCACUCCCCGGACACGACGGGCUAGAUUUCUGCGGCUGAGUGGAUGUAGCCUUGAGGUCAGGAGAAUGAUCACACUUCAGGGGCUUUUUACGUGUGCUGAGUGCUGACCUUGUCAUUAGAGCCAUGAAUCCUCCUGUUAUGUUGAGGUUGAGAGGUCAGAGUUGCUGUAUACAGAAAGUGAAUGACCAUGUAAAGUGCCUAUUCUUCUUGGUUGCUCGGUAUGCUUCUAUUGAAAUGUUUCGUAUGUCAUGGGAAUUACUUCAUUUGAAGCAUUACUAAGUGCUCAGCUCACCUA